This 253-nucleotide ribosomal RNA is filed under the name uncultured bacterium. Its description in RNAcentral is "partial 16S ribosomal RNA". It matches the Rfam family "Bacterial small subunit ribosomal RNA", at positions 524 to 776 of the family's 1533-position model. The record is from RNAcentral.
GACAGAGGUGGCAAGCGUUGCUCGGAGUUACUGGGCAUAAAGGGCGCGUAGGCGGUCGUGCACGUCGGUGGUGAAAUCUCCGGGCUCAACCCGGAAACUGCCUCCGAUACGGUGCGACUCGAGUGCGGGAGGGGAGAGUGGAACUUCUGGUGGAGCGGUGAAAUGCGUAGAUAUCAGGAGGAACGCCGGUGGCGAAAGCGACUCUCUGGUCCGCAACUGACGCUGAGGCGCGAAAGCUAGGGGAGCAAACGGG